CAGGGGAAGAAAAGUACUUGGUGAUCUCAGUGAAUGAGGUCUUCAACUGCUAAGCUGCUUUUUCCAACUGGCAGAAGCCCUUGAGAAGAGUUUAUUAAGAAUGAAGGAAAAAAAUAAUCCCUGUGUAGUUUACACAAAUGUCCCUAAAAUUCAUCCCCCACCCAUACAUUGAGCAGUACCACGUGCCUGGGGGUACAGCCCUGAACAAGUGCCCACCAUCCUGGCCCUUGGGAAGCUGCAUUCCAUGGGGACAUCUGCAAACCACAGGGAAUGAUGUACGCCUUGAACCAAACCAGUCAGAAGAAAAAGGAGGUGGUUGACUUUGAGUUGAGUUAUUUUCCAACCUCAAGCUUUCAGCAUCACUUACCCCGUCUCAUAAGGGAAACCUGGCUCUCCUCAAAACGAGCAUUCAAGAUUUAAAAUAAAUGUUAAAAACAAAA
RNAcentral lists this long non-coding RNA (440 nucleotides) under Pongo abelii (Sumatran orangutan). RNAcentral's name for it is "lincRNA". The record is from RNAcentral. Lineage: Eukaryota; Metazoa; Chordata; Mammalia; Primates; Hominidae.